AAUGAACGCUGGCGGCGUGCCUAACACAUGCAAGUCGGAUGUGCCCGCAAGGGUGCAUGGCAGACGGGUGAGUAACGCGUGGGGAAUCUACCUUUUAGUGGGGAAUAACGCUCCGAAAGGAGUGGUAAUACCGCAUGUGACCAUCGGCUGGGAUGCUGAUGGUGAAACCCUGGGACCUUCGGGCCAGGGGCUAGAAGAGGAUCCUGCGUCUGAUUAGCUAGUUGGCGGGGUAACGGCCCACCAAGGCUUUGACGGGUAGCUGGUCUGAGAGGACGAUCAGCCACACUGGCACUGCGACACGGGCCAGACUCCUACGGGAGGCAGCAGUAAGGAAUAUUGCGCAAUGGGCGAAAGCCUGACGCAGCGACGCCGCGUGGGGGAUGAAGGUCUUCGGAUUGUAAACCCCUUUCGGGAGGGAAGAUGGAACGAGCAAUCGUUCGGACGGUACCUCCAGAAGCAGCCACGGCCAACUUCGUGCCAGCAGCCG
This 487-nucleotide ribosomal RNA is filed under the name uncultured bacterium. RNAcentral's name for it is "bacterial SSU rRNA". It matches the Rfam family "Bacterial small subunit ribosomal RNA", at positions 29 to 517 of the family's 1533-position model. The record is from RNAcentral.